This is a long non-coding RNA of Suricata suricatta (meerkat), 467 nucleotides long. RefSeq lists it as uncharacterized. Lineage: Eukaryota; Metazoa; Chordata; Mammalia; Carnivora; Herpestidae. The transcript has 4 exons. The record is from RefSeq and is a predicted model, not a curated record.
GGGGGACCGGAGACUGGGACAGGGGGAUGCGGGGCACCAGAAGUUUUGUGUCUCGAAACAAGAUCUAGUUACCGUGUUCAUGGAUUCUGCGGGCAGGAAUUCAGACAGGACCUGAUGGGACAGCGUUUCUCUGCUUUAUGAUGUGAUGGAGACGUCUCUAGAAAGAAGCUGCAACAGCUGAUGUCAGAGGCCGCUGCCUGUGCUCUCCUCCAGGAAUUCACUGGUUUCCCAUCUCACAUCUGGCUCCUGGUUCCCAGGGACCCUUGGGAGAUGCUGGAGGCUCCCUCCAGGACAGGCGACACACGCUGCUGGGUCCUGACCUGCAAGCAGCAAACACCCACCCCCCUCCCUGGAACAUGGACUUCAGCACCAGGAAAGGUCAACAGAAUCCAGAGAGGAAGCCUGUGCCCACUGAGGUGUGGGCUUCAGGCUUGGGGGGCUCUCUCUGGGGGCUGGAGUGUGGAGUC